Molecule: ribosomal RNA, 880 nt
Filed under: Acinetobacter sp.
Lineage: Bacteria; Pseudomonadati; Pseudomonadota; Gammaproteobacteria; Moraxellales; Moraxellaceae
Description: bacterial SSU rRNA
Rfam family: Bacterial small subunit ribosomal RNA
Source: RNAcentral
ACAUGCAGUCGAGCGGAGAUGAGGUGCUUGCACCUUAUCUUAGCGGCGGACGGGUGAGUAAUGCUUAGGAAUCUGCCUAUUAGUGGGGGACAACAUUUCGAAAGGAAUGCUAAUACCGCAUACGCCCUACGGGGGAAAGCAGGGGAUCUUCGGACCUUGCGCUAAUAGAUGAGCCUAAGUCGGAUUAGCUAGUUGGUGGGGUAAAGGCCUACCAAGGCGACGAUCUGUAGCGGGUCUGAGAGGAUGAUCCGCCACACUGGGACUGAGACACGGCCCAGACUCCUACGGGAGGCAGCAGUGGGGAAUAUUGGACAAUGGGGGGAACCCUGAUCCAGCCAUGCCGCGUGUGUGAAGAAGGCCUUUUGGUUGUAAAGCACUUUAAGCGAGGAGGAGGAGCUCUAGAUUAAUACUCUAGAUGCUUGGACGUUACUCGCAGAAUAAGCACCGGCUAACUCUGUGCCAGCAGCCGCGGUAAUACAGAGGGUGCAAGCGUUAAUCGGAUUUACUGGGCGUAAAGCGUGCGUAGGUGGUCUUUUAAGUCGGAUGUGAAAUCCCUGAGCUUAACUUAGGAAUUGCAUUCGAUACUGGGAGACUAGAGUAUGGGAGAGGAUGGUAGAAUUCCAGGUGUAGCGGUGAAAUGCGUAGAGAUCUGGAGGAAUACCGAUGGCGAAGGCAGCCAUCUGGCCUAAUACUGACACUGAGGUACGAAAGCAUGGGGAGCAAACAGGAUUAGAUACCCUGGUAGUCCAUGCCGUAAACGAUGUCUACUAGCCGUUGGGGCCUUUGAGGCUUUAGUGGCGCAGCUAACGCGAUAAGUAGACCGCCUGGGGAGUACGGUCGCAAGACUAAAUAGAAAAUUUUUGGGGGGGGGGGGAGGGAG